Long non-coding RNA from Dendroctonus ponderosae (mountain pine beetle), 640 nucleotides. RefSeq lists it as uncharacterized. Lineage: Eukaryota; Metazoa; Arthropoda; Insecta; Coleoptera; Curculionidae. The transcript is spliced from 3 exons. The record is from RefSeq and is a predicted model, not a curated record.
UCUUAUUUAAAUGUGCCCAUGCACGUAAGUUAUCAACUUUAUAUCGAAUUCCGUUUGCUCAUUACUACCAUGAUUUAUAACAGCGCUCAGGAGUGCCAACAAAAUAAGACAAAACAAUGGACCAGCAAAAUCAUUGUCUAGAAAUGUAAAAAAGCGGAAAACUUAAUGACAUUGAACAGUUUUCGAUAAUUUGAGACUUUCAAUCAUUAAAAUAAUUAAAUCAAAUUCGGUCUACCAGACAUUGCAAAUACAUAUCAGUUUUUCUAUGUUGUUACGUUUAUAAAAAAAAGCCUUAUACACAUGUCGAGUACCUACAUAUCCAAUUAUAAUCUGAAAGCACCGAAUAAUCCAAGGUAGUAGAAGGAGCAUCAUUCAUCUGCAAACUGAAAUGCUGUAAUAACAGCCAACAUUUUAAACAAUGGAUUGGACAUCAAGGACUUAUUUUGUGGCCACUACGCUCACCGGAUUUAAAUCAACUAGAUUUCUUUUAUUGGGACUGUCUGAAAGGAAAAAUUUACUUACGGCUUGCAGACAUUCGCGAAGAGCUACGGCAAAGGGUUAUUAGAGCAGCGCAGCAAAUCAGUCAAACUCAAUGUCGCUCAAUAAAAAUAUAUUUGGGGCACUUUGAACAUUUACUUUC